Falco peregrinus (peregrine falcon) is the source of this 1033-nucleotide long non-coding RNA. RefSeq lists it as uncharacterized. The record is from RefSeq and is a predicted model, not a curated record. The transcript has 2 exons. NCBI's taxonomy places the organism in Eukaryota, Metazoa, Chordata, Aves, Falconiformes, Falconidae.
UACAAACCUGCAAGACCACCACAUUCCAGGAAACGGACUGAUAAGCUAAUUAACAUACGAAGCGGGGUUUAGCGGGGUUUAGGUAACGAAUAUGUAUAGGCGUUAAUUGAAUAUUCAUUUGUUUCAUUGUAUAAAUGUGAGAUGGUUCGUCACUUCGGGCAUGCACGCUUGUGGAGGAGCGAUCCCCCGUGCAACUGCGCACAAUAAACAUACCUACUUUAUAACUUCCGAGUUAUAGAGUCUAAUUCCUCACGUCAGUUGUAUACUCAACUGUAUAAAUAGUGUAAAGUUUUGACAAUCGGAGAGCUAGGCAUUUGAGGGUUACCACCUAGCUCCCUACUUUGCGCAAACUAGAAUAAAGAAAUAAGGAAUACCUCAACUUGGUGUGUGAAUUGGCACUGCGCACUGUGUAAGGAACCUGCUUACUGACAACAAAGCUAUAUAUAAUAUUUCAAUAUCUUGUGAGGUUUUCACUGAAGAUGAUUCUUGGGCUUCCAGUGUAUAAAACGUAGUUUUGAUCAUGUUAUAGUUUUGCUAUAUAAGUUAAGAUUGAUUGACUUUAUUUGAUUGAUUAUUUGAUUUUAUAAAAAUUAUUUUAUAAAAUAGAAAUAUAGAAGGAUAAGAAAUAUAUUUUAAUGAAACUUAUAGUUGCACAGUAAAAGCUGCUAUGAAAUCCUCUGUAUAUCCCGUACCACAGCUAGAAGAAUGGGCUAGAACCAUUGUGGAUAACUGGCUAGCUGAAAAGGGUCACAUAGACAUAGUCCAGCUGGCUGGACAAAAAUGCACAUCGCUCUCAGCUUAUCUGAAGUAAAGCAAAAAUACACUGUCCUUGGCUGUUCUUGUUACACAAUAUCAGGAAGAUUGUGGUGGGAAAAGAAUGUUACAGGUGGGAACAGAUAACUACAGAAGAGAAACUAGGGGCGGGCUUGGUAUUUAGGCAACUAAGCUUAACUUUUGUAAUAUGUAUGAGCUAAUUAUAACAAGGCAUAAAAGGUGACUGUAAGGUACAAUAAAUGAAGUCUGCUGAUCACUC